CCACGUUUCAGUAUCGUCAAACACUGGUUCAAGAUCAGCAGUGCUCUUCAACAGUCUUGGAUGUCUUCCCACGAUUCCUUAACAUCGCUGGCUUGAUGGACCAAGACUUCACCAUGAUGUUUCGAGAGGAGGUGUCGGGCAGAUCUUUGGCUAAAUGAUGGACUUUUUUCCAACCUAGGAUCCUGACAGAGUGCAGAAAACUGACUUCUAAUGAGCACAUUGAAGAGCUCCUGUCUGCGCAGCACGACACAGGCUGGGCCAGUGACCUGUCAACCUUUCUACUGUUGCUUCACUUGCUUCCACCAACCUCCAAAGGCCACAAGAAGAGGUCAAACAUCAGCUCAUGUCAAGCUGUGGACCAUGUUGUGAGAUAUCUCCAG
Long non-coding RNA from Girardinichthys multiradiatus, 380 nucleotides. RefSeq lists it as uncharacterized. The transcript is spliced from 3 exons. The record is from RefSeq and is a predicted model, not a curated record. Lineage: Eukaryota; Metazoa; Chordata; Actinopteri; Cyprinodontiformes; Goodeidae.